RNAcentral lists this ribosomal RNA (426 nucleotides) under uncultured Byssovorax sp. RNAcentral describes it as "partial 16S ribosomal RNA". It matches the Rfam family "Bacterial small subunit ribosomal RNA", at positions 355 to 774 of the family's 1533-position model. Lineage: Bacteria; Pseudomonadati; Myxococcota; Polyangiales; Polyangiaceae. The record is from RNAcentral.
UGGGGAAUCUUGCGCAAUGGACGAAAGUCUGACGCAGCGACGCCGCGUGAGUGAUGAAGGCCCUCGGGUUGUAAAGCUCUGUGGAGGGGGACGAAUAAGCGUUGGUUAAUAUCCAGCGUGAUGACGGUACCCUUUUAGCAAGCACCGGCUAACUCUGUGCCAGCAGCCGCGGUAAGACAGAGGGUGCAAACGUUGUUCGGAAUUACUGGGCGUAAAGCGCGUGUAGGCUGCUUCGCAAGUCGGAUGUGAAAGCCCUGAGCUCAACUCAGGAAGUGCAUUCGAAACUGCAAAGCUGGAGUCCUGGAGAGGAAGGCGGAAUUCUCGGUGUAGAGGUGAAAUUCGUAGAUAUCGAGAGGAACACCGGUGGCGAAGGCGGCCUUCUGGACAGUGACUGACGCUGAGACGCGAAAGCGUGGGGAGCAAACA